GGGGGGGUAGGGUGGACCUCUAAUGAGUUACAGAAUAAGGGCAUUAUAAGCAGGAGUAAAAAAUAUAACUCCUUUGCAAACUAAUAGAAUCAUAAGAAAAGUGCAAGCAAAGUUUUGGGAUAUGAUUGCACAGCAUAUUUUUCAUCCCAUACAUACACAAUAUUAGCAGUAGGGGGGUUAAUCAUUAAUGUACUGGCAGUUAGUAUUAAAGCACUUUUUUAUAGGCAGGGACAGCACUGUAUUAAAUACACAUUUCAGAUUUCUUUACAUAGGGGCUUGGAUUUAAGUGUCACAGACUUCUGCCAUGCAACAUCAGUGUGAAUGAUUCCCCGGAACAAAUUGUUCCAGGACACAUGAGAUGUGGAUCUCGUGUUAAAAAUAAAGUCUAGGUCAUACUAAUUAU
This is a non-coding RNA of Pelobates cultripes (western spadefoot toad), 403 nucleotides long. Lineage: Eukaryota; Metazoa; Chordata; Amphibia; Anura; Pelobatidae. The record is from the annotation of a GenBank genome assembly.